AGAGCUCAUUGUGUUAUGUGUUCGCAGACUGAAGGAGGCGCGUGAGCCACCACGGCAACCCGUGCUUGUUUAAUCGCUUGAUCACGCAAAACGAGUUCGUUUCUCGAUCUCAAGCUGCGGGAAUUAUUCUAGUGUGUUGGAUACACCAUUCGAAAUGAGCUAUGGUAGGCCACCGCCCGACGUUGAGGGCAUGACUUCGUUGAAAGUGGAUAAUUUAACGUAUCGCACGUCGCCGGAGACGCUGCGGCGCGUCUUUGAAAAGUACGGCCGAGUCGGGGACGUUUAUAUUCCCCGAGACCGAUACACGAAAGAGAGCCGUGGCUUCGCCUUCGUGCGGUUUCACGACAAGAGGGAUGCCGAAGAUGCGAUGGACGCAAUGGAUGGAGCUAUUCUGGACGGACGAGAGCUCCGGGUUCAGAUGGCCCGAUACGGCCGUCCGCCCGACUCGUACUACGGGGGGCGCCGCGGUGGGGGAGCCGGGAGAAGACACGGCGGACACGGCCGUCGCAGCCGAAGUCCCAGACGCCGGAGACGCAGCCGUUCCAGAAGCCGCUCUCGUUCCCGCAGCCGCUCCCGUUACAGCAGAUCGAGGUCACGCUCCUACUCUCGCUCCCGGUCUCACUCCAAGUCACACACACCCCGUAAGAGGAAGUCCAAGUCGCCCUCCAGGUCUAGGUCCCGUUCAAGAUCCAAAUCCAGGUCCCGUUCCAGGAGCCGCACACCUGCUUCGAACAGAGAGUCGAAGUCCAGGUCAAGGUCUAAAAGCCAGCCGAAGUCUGCUGGUGAAGAAGGACACACAUCAUCCUAAAACCUUUCAGAGCUGCUGAAUCCUGUAUGGCAAUGUAAAAGCAGGGGUGUGAGGUGCAGUUUGAGCUGUUAGAGGUGUGUGUGAUCCAGCCACCUGCUCCUGUUGGGGUUGCUUUGGAGCAGAUGGGUGUUUUGGUGGUGCUGAGGUCUUCCUUACCAUUGGACGAUUCCAAACAUGUGACCUCUGUUGGAGCCUGAGGAACAACAGAUUGAAAAUCCUGAAAGCUACACAAUGGCUACAUGAGCCUUAAGGUCAUUAUGACUGAUUGGCAUUGUCGAACUGUUUCAUAGUUAUACAGCCCUUUGUUCUUUCAAUACAUUGUACCCAUUUUCUGUGAGGUUGUUUUAAACGUGUGUGUCCUUUUUAAUUCGUUGAGUAGGACGAGCAUCACAAUUCUGUUGGCCUUAAAGGUAAACUUGUCUCGGUGAUUGUUUUGAGUAUUAGCUGCACAUAAUUUGUGUAAUACAGAAAUCAAUGUAGCUUUGCUUUUUUGUUGUUAAAAUUCUGCUUAAAUCUGCAAAUGUUUAAGAUGAAUAUUCUUUAGGAUGCUUUAUUUUGAAGUGAUUUGAAGAGUAAGAAUAGCCUGGGUUCUGAUCAGCAUGUGUAACAUACCAGUUUUUGUAUUUUAUUUUGGUUUUUGUAUUUUAUUUGUGUGACAUUUGUAUUCUAACCCCAUGUCUUGUGUAUUUUUUGUGCAUUAGGCGCAGUUGUCUAGCUGUUGAGUAUUGCUGGUUAGCUGUUAAGAUCCGGUGUUGCCGUGCUUGGCUGUUUCCAGUUUUCUCCAGAUUGCAGCUGUUGCAGGUGUGGCCGAGAUCAAACGGCAUCUGCAAAUACAUUUUUGGUAGUAUAAUCGCUGUCGUUCAUUAAUUUAUUUUUGUUCAACAAUUUGGAAAGUUUGAAGUAUCUUGACGACAAAUAAAGCGUGCCGAUAAACUU
This is an RNA transcript of Xyrauchen texanus (razorback sucker), 1744 nucleotides long. It is a transcript of the gene named serine/arginine-rich splicing factor 2-like, with no coding region annotated. NCBI's taxonomy places the organism in Eukaryota, Metazoa, Chordata, Actinopteri, Cypriniformes, Catostomidae. The record is from RefSeq and is a predicted model, not a curated record. The transcript has 4 exons.